RNAcentral lists this ribosomal RNA (241 nucleotides) under uncultured bacterium. RNAcentral describes it as "partial 16S ribosomal RNA". It matches the Rfam family "Bacterial small subunit ribosomal RNA", at positions 29 to 266 of the family's 1533-position model. The record is from RNAcentral.
AACGAACGUUGGCGGUGUGCCUAAUACAUGCGAGUCGAGCGAGAAAGCCGGGGCAACUCGGCGAGUACAGCGGCGGAAGGGUGCGUAAUACAUGGAUAACGUACCCUCUAGUUGGGGAUAACCCUCCGAAAGGUGGGCUAAUACCGAAUAAAGGCAGCGGGUGGCAUCAUCUGCUGCUUAAAGACGCAAGUCGCUAGAGGAGCGGUCCAUGGCCUAUCAGCUAGUUGGCGGGGAACGGCCC